RNAcentral lists this ribosomal RNA (650 nucleotides) under Klebsiella oxytoca. RNAcentral's name for it is "bacterial SSU rRNA". It matches the Rfam family "Bacterial small subunit ribosomal RNA", at positions 44 to 686 of the family's 1533-position model. Lineage: Bacteria; Pseudomonadati; Pseudomonadota; Gammaproteobacteria; Enterobacterales; Enterobacteriaceae. RNAcentral also lists the same sequence under 1 other name. The record is from RNAcentral.
AGGCCUAAUACAUGCAAGUCGAACGGUAGCACAGAGAGCUUGCUCUCGGGUGACGAGUGGCGGACGGGUGAGUAAUGUCUGGGAAACUGCCUGAUGGAGGGGGAUAACUACUGGAAACGGUAGCUAAUACCGCAUAACGUCGCAAGACCAAAGAGGGGGACCUUCGGGCCUCUUGCCAUCAGAUGUGCCCAGAUGGGAUUAGCUAGUAGGUGGGGUAACGGCUCACCUAGGCGACGAUCCCUAGCUGGUCUGAGAGGAUGACCAGCCACACUGGAACUGAGACACGGUCCAGACUCCUACGGGAGGCAGCAGUGGGGAAUAUUGCACAAUGGGCGCAAGCCUGAUGCAGCCAUGCCGCGUGUAUGAAGAAGGCCUUCGGGUUGUAAAGUACUUUCAGCGGGGAGGAAGGUGUUGAGGUUAAUAACCUCAGCAAUUGACGUUACCCGCAGAAGAAGCACCGGCUAACUCCGUGCCAGCAGCCGCGGUAAUACGGAGGGUGCAAGCGUUAAUCGGAAUUACUGGGCGUAAAGCGCACGCAGGCGGUCUGUCAAGUCCGAUGUGAAAUCCCCGGGCUCAACCUGGGAACUGCAUUCGAAACUGGCAGGCUGGAGUCUUGUAGAGGGGGUAGAAUUCCAGGUGUAGCCGUGAAA